CCUACGGGAGGCAGCAGUAGGGAAUCUUCCACAAUGGGCGAAAGCCUGAUGGAGCAACGCCGCGUGAGCGAAGAAGGUCUUCGGAUCGUAAAGCUCUGUUGUAAGGGAAGAACAAGUGCAGUAGUAACUGGCUGCACCUUGACGGUACCUAACCAGAAAGCCACGGCUAACUACGUGCCAGCAGCCGCGGUAAUACGUAGGUGGCAAGCGUUGUCCGGAAUUAUUGGGCGU
RNAcentral lists this ribosomal RNA (231 nucleotides) under uncultured bacterium. RNAcentral's name for it is "partial 16S ribosomal RNA". It matches the Rfam family "Bacterial small subunit ribosomal RNA", at positions 338 to 561 of the family's 1533-position model. The record is from RNAcentral.